GUAACAGCUAAAUUUGCUCAUCCUGGUUUGCUUGUAGGAUGUGAAUGCAAGAACCUGCCAAGAAAACCAAUGUCCAAGAUGAUUGAUUAGUGCAGGACCUGAGAGAACCCCCUUCAAUGACAACCUGAAGCAGUUUCCAGUAUUGGAUUGAAAAGAUGGCCUUUGCUGCAUCUUCUUGAGCAAGGAAAGCCAAGAAACCUUUGCUUUGGAAGGAGAAAAUCUGGAAAGUAGGAAGAAAGAAAAGAAGCCCCCUGACUCCUCCUGAGCCCCAGACAGCCCAUGAACUGCCUUGCUGGGAAUGGUAGGACAGGCUGGACUCUGGAUUGCUCCCUCUGCAUGUGUGGAACUCCAGGAACUCCUGGUGCCGCCUGGGCCGAUGGAUUGGACGCCCCAGCCCCUCCGUUCCUGCCCAGCCACUGGGUCCGUGUCCAGUGGUGGCACUGCCAGCCCUGCAGUGGGAUGUAGCCUGGAAACUGCACAGAGCUGAGCCAAGGGAUUGAAAGGGACCAACCAAGGGAGGUGAAGAAAGAAUUAAAGUGAGGCAGCAGCCAAGCAGCAGCAAGUUGCUGUGUAAGCAGGUUUUUCCAAGUGCUGCCCAGCACAGGGAUCCGUGUGCUGGGACAGUGAUUGGCAGGAGGAAGGGGAGCCUUGGCCUCACCUGCCCAGCUCAGGCCAGGCCAAAGCCCUGCUCCAGCCCAGCUCUGCCAAGUGCCCUGGGCUGGGAGCAGCCAAAGGCAAGAGGCUGCAGCCCCGCCGGCCGGGCUGGGGGCUCCUGGUGCUGCCCGUGGGGUGGGAUGCUGGAAUUGCCUCUCUGGGUGUGUGCUGAGCUCUGGCUGCAGGGGACUGUCAGGCCUUGGUGGCUGUGAGUUCCUGUUCUUCUCCCUGGGAAACUGGAAAGAGUUAUUCAUUAGAUUGCAGAAAUGUAAUUUUGAGGGGACCCAGCAACUGUUUGUGUAGGAAAAGGUGAGGUGCUGCAGAGGGGAGGGAGGUGGCAUUUUGGAGGGGUCCCACUGAGGGGGGAGUGGAGAGCCUGGGGCUGGAGUGUGAGUUAUUAAACAGGGAAGAAGGGAAGGAUGCUUGGGAGGGAAACACUCAGGGAAUGUGUAGGGAUGGAAUGGAAAUUUGGGGUGUCAGGAAGAGAUAAUUGGUGAUGUAGAGGAAGGGAAAUGUUGGGGGUAAGACUUGAUCUCAUCUGUAGAGGACAGAAGGACCAUUUAGAGGUAAAGUGAGGCAGUGAGUGGUGGGCAGGUCGGGAAAAUUUGUGUUUGUAAAAUUUCAGGUCACCUGUAGCAGAGAGGAUGUACCUCCUGA
Long non-coding RNA from Pseudopipra pipra, 1311 nucleotides. RefSeq lists it as uncharacterized. The transcript has 6 exons. The record is from RefSeq and is a predicted model, not a curated record. NCBI's taxonomy places the organism in Eukaryota, Metazoa, Chordata, Aves, Passeriformes, Pipridae.